Molecule: microRNA, 22 nt
Filed under: Homo sapiens (human)
Lineage: Eukaryota; Metazoa; Chordata; Mammalia; Primates; Hominidae
Description: Hsa-Mir-3924_5p (mature (co-guide))
Source: RNAcentral
UAGUAGUCAAAUAUGCAGAUCU